AUUGAACGCUGGCGGCAGGCUUAACACAUGCAAGUCGAGCGGGGUGAUGGUGCUUGCACUAUCACUUAGCGGCGGACGGGUGAGUAAUGCUUAGGAAUCUGCCUAUUAGUGGGGGACAACAUUCCGAAAGGAAUGCUAAUACCGCAUACGCCCUACGGGGGAAAGCAGGGGAUCUUCGGACCUUGCGCUAAUGGAUGAGCCUAAGUCGGAUUAGCUAGUUGGUGGGGUAAAGGCCUACCAAGGCGACGAUCUGUAGCGGGUCUGAGAGGAUGAUCCGCCACACUGGGACUGAGACACGGCCCAGACUCCUACGGGAGGCAGCAGUGGGGAAUAUUGGACAAUGGGCGGAAGCCUGAUCCAGCCAUGCCGCGUGUGUGAAGAAGGCCUUUUGGUUGUAAAGCACUCUAAGCGAGGGGGAGGCUACUUAGAUUAAUACUCUGGGAUAGUGGACGUUACUCGCAGAAUAAGCACCGGCUAACUCUGUGCCAGCCGCCGCCGUAA
This 501-nucleotide ribosomal RNA is filed under the name uncultured bacterium. RNAcentral describes it as "partial 16S ribosomal RNA". It matches the Rfam family "Bacterial small subunit ribosomal RNA", at positions 30 to 523 of the family's 1533-position model. The record is from RNAcentral.